This is a long non-coding RNA of Leptopilina heterotoma, 950 nucleotides long. RefSeq lists it as uncharacterized. Lineage: Eukaryota; Metazoa; Arthropoda; Insecta; Hymenoptera; Figitidae. The record is from RefSeq and is a predicted model, not a curated record. The transcript has 5 exons.
GUUUUUUUCGUGCAAAUCGCUCGUGCACGUCUUUUCGCCAAUUCUGCCACUGAUUUGCAGAUACUAUUCUUUUGGUUGCCCUCGUCAUCUCCGGGCUCUUCCACCACUUGAAAAACAAAUUUUUACUUAUAGGAAACUGUGUUUUAAGACGAAAAAGGAACUUACAGAUGAAGUCGGAUGAUCCCUGUAUCUCAGGAUGAACUUUAUGUGAAUUCUGAAGUUUUUGAGAGGAGCCAUUUGCUUGCAUGAGAUUUAGACUUCCACCAGAACCACUUAGCGCAUGAUUUAUAUAUGCUCCACCGAUUCUUCCCAUUUUCUCAUCACUUACAAUGUCGACUCCCUUCAUUCUGAAAAAAGAGAGGUGGGAGCCUUAGAGCAAUUGAGAACUGACAAAUCGGAAAUGGAGAAUUUUUGAAGACAAAACAAAGGAGGAGUGAAAACGUGCAUAACACUUGGAGCAAUAGACAAAUAUGCAUAUAUCUUUUGUAUCUAUGUACCAGAUGUUACAUUUCGGAGAAGGAAAUAUUAACUACUAUCAAACAGGAGAAAACAUUGGAUAAUAUGACGUGGAUUCAUAUAUAGAAUUUCCUUUUUAUUUUUUUUUCUUAACACACAGAAAUCACAUGAUUAGGAAAAGUAGAAAAUCACAUGAUUUUAAAAACAUUUCACAUGCAAAGGAGGUAACUCAGUUCCUUGAACCAGGAAAAUCCAAGUCAACCUUUCUAACUGUCACGUGUUCAAUAUAUUCUAAUACAUUUUCAGAAAAGGAAUAUUAAUUAUUCAUCGGGAAAAAUUCUAAAUUGAGGAAAAAAAAAUCAGGUGCAAUCGAUGAAUUUUUGUGGAAAUGUGAAUAAAAUAUAUUUUUCGUUGAAUUUUGAAAAAUAUUUAUUCAUUUUAUAUUUAGAGAGUCAUGUGAGAGAUUAUUUUGUAUAUACGUGCGAUCACUUGAC